Molecule: ribosomal RNA, 630 nt
Filed under: Triticum aestivum (bread wheat)
Lineage: Eukaryota; Viridiplantae; Streptophyta; Magnoliopsida; Poales; Poaceae
Description: partial small subunit ribosomal RNA
Source: RNAcentral
CUUAGUGGCGGCAGCGAGACAGCUACACUAGAGUGGACGAUCGCUGAGCUGAUAAGGAACCCAAAGGUGAUGCAGAAGGUGACAGCCGAGGUUCGGCAAGCCUUCGAAGCUCGUGGCAGUGUAGCAAAGGACACCCUCGGUGAGCUCCCGUACAUGCAUCUGGUCAUCAGGGAGGCGUUCAGGCUCCACAUGCCCACGCCGUUACUCCUCCCGCGGGAGUGCCGUGAGCCAUGCCAGAUUCUUGGGUACGACGUGCCCCGGGGCACGCAGGUGCUAAUCAAUGUUUGGGCGAUGGGCCGCGAUGAGUGAUACUGGCCCGGCGCGCCUAGCGAGUUCCGGCCGGAGCGGUUUGAGGGCGAGGCGGCCACCGUGGACUUUAGGGGAACCAACUUCUCCUUCCUGCCGUUCGGUUCUGGCAGGAGAACUUGCCCCGGGAUGGCGUUCGGCCUCGCCAACAUCGAGCUCGCUCUCGCAAGCCUGCUGUUCCACUUUGAUUGGGAGGGUCCACCACGGGAGGAGUUGGACAUGGAGGAAGCGUUUGGCAUCACGGCACGGCGGAAGGCCGACCUCCUUCUUCGCCCUGUCCUCCGAGUCCCCCUUCGUGGAGUGGACAGUGGAGAUGUCCGUUAG